GAGUUUGAUUCUGGCUCAGAUUGAACGCUGGCGGCAUGCUUUACACAUGCAAGUCGAACGGCAGCACAGGGAGCUUGCUCCUGGGUGGCGAGUGGCGAACGGGUGAGUAAUGUAUCGGAACGUGCCUGGUAGUGGGGGAUAACUACUCGAAAGAGUGGCUAAUACCGCAUGAGAUCUUUGGAUGAAAGCGGGGGACCUUCGGGCCUCGUGCUACUGGAGCGGCCGAUAUCAGAUUAGGUUGUUGGUGGGGUAAAGGCCUACCAAGCCUGCGAUCUGUAGCUGGUCUGAGAGGACGACCAGCCACACUGGGACUGAGACACGGCCCAGACUCCUACGGGAGGCAGCAGUGGGGAAUUUUGGACAAUGGGCGCAAGCCUGAUCCAGCAAUGCCGCGUGCAGGACGAAGGCCUUCGGGUUGUAAACUGCUUUUGUACAGAACGAAAAGUCUCUGGCUAAUAUCUAGAGAUCAUGACGGNNCUAGA
RNAcentral lists this ribosomal RNA (482 nucleotides) under Brachymonas sp. canine oral taxon 015. RNAcentral describes it as "bacterial SSU rRNA". It matches the Rfam family "Bacterial small subunit ribosomal RNA", at positions 9 to 482 of the family's 1533-position model. Lineage: Bacteria; Pseudomonadati; Pseudomonadota; Betaproteobacteria; Burkholderiales; Comamonadaceae. The record is from RNAcentral.